RNAcentral lists this small nuclear RNA (103 nucleotides) under Nannospalax galili (Upper Galilee mountains blind mole rat). Lineage: Eukaryota; Metazoa; Chordata; Mammalia; Rodentia; Spalacidae. The record is from RNAcentral.
GUGCUCACUUCAAAAGCACAUGUACUAAAUUUGGAAUGACAAAAGAUUAGCAUGGCUCCUGUGCUAGAAUGACACACAAAUUCAUGAAGUGUUCCAAUCAAAA